GUAGUUUGAUCCGUGGCUACAGAACGAACGCUGGCGGCAUGCCUAACACAUGCAAGUCGAACGAAGGCUUCGGCCUUAGUGGCGCACGGGUGAGUAACACGUGGGAACCUGCCUUAUGGUUCGGGAUAACGUCUGGAAACGGACGCUAACACCGGAUGUGCCCUUCCGGGGGAAAGUUUACGCCAUGAGAGGGGCCCGCGUCCGAUUAGGUAGUUGGUGGGGUAAUGGCCCACCAAGCCGACGAUCGGUAGCUGGUCUGAGAGGAUGAUCAGCCACACUGGGACUGAGACACGGCCCAGACUCCUACGGGAGGCAGCAGUGGGGAAUAUUGGACAAUGGGGGCAACCCUGAUCCAGCAAUGCCGCGUGAGUGAUGAAGGCCUUAGGGUUGUAAAGCUCUUUCGCACGCGACGAUGAUGACGGUAGCGUGAGAAGAAGCCCCGGCUAACUUCGUG
This 454-nucleotide ribosomal RNA is filed under the name uncultured Azospirillum sp. Its description in RNAcentral is "bacterial SSU rRNA". It matches the Rfam family "Bacterial small subunit ribosomal RNA", at positions 9 to 507 of the family's 1533-position model. The record is from RNAcentral. Lineage: Bacteria; Pseudomonadati; Pseudomonadota; Alphaproteobacteria; Rhodospirillales; Azospirillaceae.